ACGGCUGAGUAACGCGUGGGUGACGUACCUGUUGGUGGGGAAUAACUGCCCGAAAGGGUGGCUAAUACCGCAUAGGUCCUUCGGAUCGAGCCGACGGACAAAGCUUCGCGAGAGGCGCCAAUGGAGCGGCCCGCGUCCGAUUAGCUGGUUGGUGGGGUAACGGCCUACCAAGGCGUCGAUCGGUAGCUGGUCUGAGAGGAUGGUCAGCCACACUGGGACUGAGACACGGCCCAG
RNAcentral lists this ribosomal RNA (234 nucleotides) under uncultured bacterium. Its description in RNAcentral is "partial 16S ribosomal RNA". It matches the Rfam family "Bacterial small subunit ribosomal RNA", at positions 102 to 334 of the family's 1533-position model. The record is from RNAcentral.